GGUGACGUGGCCGAGAGGCUGAAGGCGGCGGUUUGCUAAACCGUUAUACGGUCAAAAGCCGUAUCGAGGGUUCGAAUCCCUCCGUCACCG
This 90-nucleotide transfer RNA is filed under the name Enterovirga rhinocerotis. It matches the Rfam family "tRNA". From Rfam's summary of the family: Transfer RNA (tRNA) molecules are approximately 80 nucleotides in length. Their secondary structure includes four short double-helical elements and three loops (D, anti-codon, and T loops). The record is from Rfam by way of RNAcentral. Lineage: Bacteria; Pseudomonadati; Pseudomonadota; Alphaproteobacteria; Hyphomicrobiales; Methylobacteriaceae.